AGUUGUUUUUGAUUCCUUGUGUAGUGCUUUGAUAGGUGCUUGUUGCAUACUUUUAUUCAUUGCAUUACAUGAUGAUUUUCGUGUGUGAAAGUUAUUUUUAAAAUUGAUUUGAGGAAAGGUGUUUGGGAAUUUAAAAAUUUUUUUUUCUUUGAGAGAGGAGAUGAUUGAGAAUCAUUAUUUUGAGGAGAGAAAUUUUUCAAAGUUGUUUAAACGGUGUUUAACUUUACAAUCAUAUUAAGUUAAAUUCAUAUUAAUUAUCGUUUUUAUUCAAUUUUUUAUUAUUUUGACGAUAAUUUAAUACAUGAUUUUUUAAUACAUAUAUUUAUCAAAAUUUUGAAAUCAAAUUUGAUCUCUUGGUGAUUAAUCUAUCUCGGUUGUGUGUGUUGA
This 387-nucleotide long non-coding RNA is filed under the name Ananas comosus (pineapple). RNAcentral describes it as "long non-coding RNA (ACOM_LNC035843)". The record is from RNAcentral. Lineage: Eukaryota; Viridiplantae; Streptophyta; Magnoliopsida; Poales; Bromeliaceae.